GAUGAACGCUGGCGGCGUGCCUAAUACAUGCAAGUAGAACGCUGAAGGAGGAGCUUGCUCUUCUGGAUGAGUUGCGAACGGGUGAGUAACGCGUAGGUAACCUGCCUGGUAGCGGGGGAUAACUAUUGGAAACGAUAGCUAAUACCGCAUGACAACAGUUAUUGCAUGAUAACUGUUUAAAAGGGGCAACUGCUCCACUACCAGAUGGACCUGCGUUGUAUUAGCUAGUUGGUGAGGUAACGGCUCACCAAGGCGACGAUACAUAGCCGACCUGAGAGGGUGGUCGGCCACACUGGGACUGAGACACGGCCCAGACUCCUACGGGAGGCAGCAGUAGGGAAUCUUCGGCAAUGGACGGAAGUCUGACCGAGCAACGCCGCGUGAGUGAAGAAGGUUUUCGGAUCGUAAAACUCUGUUGUAAGAGAAGAACGAGUGUGAGAGUGGAAAGUUCACACUGUGACGGUAUCUUACCAGAAAGGGACGGCUAACUACGUG
Molecule: ribosomal RNA, 495 nt
Filed under: uncultured bacterium
Lineage: Bacteria
Description: partial 16S ribosomal RNA
Rfam family: Bacterial small subunit ribosomal RNA
Source: RNAcentral